This is a long non-coding RNA of Bombus huntii, 4170 nucleotides long. RefSeq lists it as uncharacterized. NCBI's taxonomy places the organism in Eukaryota, Metazoa, Arthropoda, Insecta, Hymenoptera, Apidae. The record is from RefSeq and is a predicted model, not a curated record. The transcript is spliced from 2 exons.
GGAACAGUAGCCAGAAAGAGACGUAACGAAAAGAGAUGAAAUAAUAGCAAUAAAGCGAGGCAAAACAGUGCAAAAGAGAUGGCCGCUGAGCUGGUAGGGGAAUCAAUGAGUGUUACUCGCGCCACCGCUUUUGUUUCUCUCCUCGUCUCUCUCGCUGCAUGGUUAUACUCUCUGUACACCAGUCUCCCACCGUGGUGUUCUAUAUAGGCUCGUCCAACCCUCGAAGCGUGACCGUGACUGUGACUCUGAUCAAACAGAGUGCACGUGUCCACCGUGUGUACGUUACUCUCUGGCUCUGCGCGCUUGCUUGUGCUCUCGCUGGUCCUGUUCUCUACAUCCCCGUAGAACUUGUACCACGUGGAAACACUUUUCUUCGUUUCGACGCGGUUAUUUCACGCGAUACAUGCGUAUCAUACACACGGUUCCAUGUCGUCUAAUUGUAGACGUUCUUCGCUUGGUCAACAAACACUUAACCAUUUCGGUAACCAUUUCAGCGCCACGCGCCCAGAUUCCUAACUAACCUAUAUUUAUGUUUUUUUUCAUGAUUUCCAAAGUGUGGUUAAAAUACAUAAUUAAAAAUUGUUUUACGUGAGUCUAGUAAAUUUUAUAAUAUUUGUUAUAACACGAACUAUCUUAUGUAAUGUAUAAAAUUGGUAACUGUUCGUUAAUAAAAUGUUUUUUUCUGGUACGACUUCUCUGGUUUCUUAAAGAUAAUUCAAGAGAUCGAGAGAGAGAGAGAGAGAGAGAUUGCACUUGAUAUAAAAGUGGAUCUCGUUUGCUCAUUCGAUGUACUCAGCACCCUGAAACAAAUUGCUUUUCAUCGGCCACUUCGAAGGCACUCAGGGAUCAUCUUACGAUUGGCUUAGUUUAUCGGCAGGUUACUACCACUGUUAGUUUUUCUGCAUUCUUUCAUUUACUUUAUCACCAACUGGUGAAGAGAAAUAUGGUCGAACUAUUUCUAUUCAUCUUCUUAUUUAUUUUUGAUUCUUAGUAUUUUGAGAGUCUAAACAUGAAAUAAAAGACAGUAGUAUAUAAAUGCACUUCUGUUUUGAUUUUACAGAAUUAUUGUGGAGGUUAUGUCAAUUAUUAUGAUCGAGGUCAAGAAUUUUAUAAGAAUAAAACACUAAAUUCUACGUAAGAAGAGAGCAUUUAAUCUUGCUCUAGGAUCAGAAUACGAGGAUUGUGGAACCAUUAGCGUCAUCUGUUAUUUAAUUUCCAAGUCAUGAUAAUUGGAUCUGAUUUCGACAAAAGAUACUUUUAUUAUUAAAUUUACAAAUAUAGAAACAUGAAAAGAGGAUAGUAUCUACAAUUAACUGCAUAAACUUGAUUUGAAUGAAAAUAAUAUUGUAUUUCAAAAAAUUUUCAUAAAUCAAUCCUUUUUUAAAAUUUAUUCUCAAUGAUAAUGAUCGAUAUCGAUUUGCUUGUUUUACUUAUUUUCUUUUUCGUGAAGAAACUGCACUUGUUUCCAACAUAAUCACGUAUUAAAUCUGAAACGUCGUAAAAGCACUUAUGAAAAAUGUACCCUGAACCUAGCGCGCUCGCAAUUGGUUGACUCAGCCAAGUGGUUCAAUGGGAUACCGCGCCAUUUCAUUGAUGCCGCUAACCUUAUGGUGAGUAAGUAACGGCCAAUGUCGUUCCUUCUUCAGCUUAAAUUCUAAAUUAUUUCUAUGAAAAUUACACUAUACAAAUUUAUAUUUCUUCAAUGUCUAUUUCACAUUUAUCAAAUUGCAUUAAAUUAAAAUCAAUUGUUUAAACAAUCUAAUCUUUAUAAUUAUCGUAUAGUAGUAAUAAUGAUUGUCAUUAUUACCCUUUUAUAUGGUAAUUUUAAUUUCAAACAUUAAAAAAUUGUUAGUUACUCAUAGUAUAGAUAAAGUUCAUUCAGUGUGUACUAUUCUAAAACUGAAUCUCUAUUCAUGUGAUCAUUACGUAGUACCGCUACCGCUAUUUUAAAGCUAAAGAUCGUUCGGGGUUCCGACCUUCGUACAGAUAAGCGUGCAGAUUCAAUACCACUUAGACUUCUUACCGUGCACCUAUCCAGAAGUCUUUGUUGAUCCAUCAGAUUAGUGUCAACCUGAAACAAUUAUUCUCCACGCAAAAUUUCCGUACAAUUUUACAAUUUCUAUGUCAUACAUUCCAGACUAACGCAAAUAUAAAUAUCGUAUGUAUGCAUGCACACUAUUCUUGUAUUGGUUAAUCACACUUUCUGAUUAUUCCAUUUUUAGAAAUUCCCUAUAUCUCUUCUUUAUUAUCUCUUCUUAAUUAAAGAUAUGAAAUGAUUCUAGUACUUUUGAUUUAAUUUUCUUACUCUAUACUUUAAAAAUAGUUCUACUGCAUUCUUUCCAAGUAACAAUAUAAGAUAAUUUACACCGUGUCUCUUGCUUAAUUUUUUCGACAGCCCUCACGAUACAUAUACCGAGAAAUGGAAUUAAUUUAAAGUACAACGAGUACUUUCUUAUAUGUAUACCGUCAGUGUUAAAUGCCAGCAGCACAACCCUAGCGCUUUAUUCGCCUUGCUAUCUCGUUAGCGAACUCUAUUGGUGUUUCUGUACAACUCGCGACAUUUCCUCCUGCAAGUUCACAAUCUACCCGAUGCCUUCUCUUUUUGGAAUAAUUCAUUUAUAGAAAGAGUGGAGUACAUAAAAGUAGUAAAUUAGUAAAAAUAAAAUAAAAUUAUAUUGUAAAAUUCAUUUCGGGUCAUAUAGACUCAAGAGAAUAGCAGGAUUAAAUUACUCAGGAAAUAAACAAAAUGUAGAAACACGUCUGUGAAGCGACGCGUCUACCGGCGUGGCGCGCUCCGCGUAGCGGCGGGUCACUAAAAUCGAUAUUAAAGCAGACAAUGUUGCAACCGUGCAACGUGGUAUAAACACAAAAAUCAGAAUGCAUAGAGGAAACGGUCGACGCAGUCAGGCACGACUGUGUGGAACGAGUGGCAACCAACAAUGAGAAUAUGCGCAUGCGCCUCGAGAAAUCAAGAAAUACAUAGAUGCACGUCCACAGUGCGUCUGAAAGUGUUCGGUGUGAAUGUGUUCACUAAAGAAUAAGGAGUGGGAGAAAAAAACGGAGAGGGAUGGGGGCAGUACGCGCGUUAAAGUAAAAUAAAAACAACCUUGAAAGUUUGUAAACGGAAACAGGGAUGGGCAUCCGAUGUUCGUUCUUCUGGGAACUUCCGAUCGGACAGACUUAUGAUUAUGAAUGCACGACACGUUGCACUAUGCCACAUUGAUGAAAUGAUAGGAAAUUAAAUAAAUUUUCAAAAUUUGCAAAAUGUCAAGAUUCCUCUUAUUUUGUAAUAUCAAGUUAUAAAUAUAUUUAUGAUAUUAAGGUUAUAUUUCUUUUAUUAUUAAAAAAUACUUUCACUCAGUCCAGUAUAAUUUCAUCUAAUUCCUGAUGAAAUAUGGACGUAUAAAUAAGAUUAUUAGACUAUUAUAGUAUGUAUUACAUAUACAAUAAGUAUGUAUUUAUGAGAUAAUAGAUAAUGAAGAAACAGAGAUGUUUAACAGUGUCAAACAUGUGAGAGUUUUUUCAGAAUGCCGUGAAACCUAUCCUUGUUGCUUCCCACGACUUUAAUAUGCAGACGAGGCGAUUUCUAAUGCGACGCGCCAACAUUUCAACUGAGAGACGUGCAAGCACCUCAUUUGCCUCAUCGAAUGACGAUAGGUAUUACACGAUUGUUCAUUGAUCCAGUGAAACUACGUUUUUUGCUUUCUUUCGUUGCACGAAAUAUUUGCGAGAAAUUUUAUACAUAAAAAUUAUUAAUUAACAAUUGGAAAUAAUAUGAUAAGAAUCUAGAUAUAAUAAUAAAUAAUAUCAAAAAGAGGAUUCGAUACAUCUCUUUAUGGCGUCAUGAUGAUUUUAUGAUAAAUCUUUCUUUAGAAAACUUGUAAUGUUGAUUACAUUAUAAUUUCUAAGAUAUACGUUCGAAGCGUAAAGCCGAAGCCUAUUACCUAUACAAACGUAUAACUCAAGUACGCCGGUAACUAAGAAUGUCUAACGCAACCUUCGAAUGCACCAGCAUUCCACAAAGGGUGUAAUAGUCUCUACUUGAUUAUGCUGUACAAUGCUCUGGCUGAUAAUAGCAGUUUACAAUGUCGUGAUAUUCUUAACACAUGAAAUCCUGUACUUACGUCAUCUAUUAUGUUCUUUUCAAUAAAUUUUUCUCUCGUCUAUCAA